CCUACGGGUGGCAGCAGUGGGGAAUCUUCCACAAUGGGCGAAAGCCUGAUGGAGCAACGCCGCGUGAGUGAAGAAGGUCUUCGGGUCGUAAAACCCUGUUGUUAGAGAAGAAAGUGCGUGAGCGUAACUGUUCACGUUUCGACGAUAUCUAACCAGAAAGCCCCGGCUAACUACGUGCAAGCAGCCGCGGUAAUACGUAGGUGGCAAGCGUUAUCCGGAUUUAUUGGGCGUAACGGGAACGCAGGCGGUCUUGUAAGUCUGAUGUGAAAGCCGUCGGCUUAACCGGAGUAGUGCAUUGGAAACUGGGAGACUUGAGUGCAGAAGAGGAGAGCGGAACUCCAUGUGUAGCGGUGAAAUGCGUAGAUAUAUGGAAGAACACCAGUGGCGAAAGCGGCUUACUGGUCUGUAACUGACGCUGAGGUUCGAAAGCGUGGGGAGCAAACAGGAUUAGAUACCCGUGUAGUC
RNAcentral lists this ribosomal RNA (465 nucleotides) under uncultured bacterium. RNAcentral describes it as "partial 16S ribosomal RNA". It matches the Rfam family "Bacterial small subunit ribosomal RNA", at positions 338 to 795 of the family's 1533-position model. The record is from RNAcentral.